GACGAACGCUGGCGGCGUGCCUAAUACAUGCAAGUAGAACGCUGAAGGAGGAGCUUGCUUCUCUGGAUGAGUUGCGAACGGGUGAGUAACGCGUAGGUAACCUGCCUGGUAGCGGGGGAUAACUAUUGGAAACGAUAGCUAAUACCGCAUAAGAGUAGAUGUUGCAUGACAUUUGCUUAAAAGGUGCAAUUGCAUCACUACCAGAUGGACCUGCGUUGUAUUAGCUAGUUGGUGGGGUAACGGCUCACCAAGGCGACGAUACAUAGCCGACCUGAGAGGGGGAUAGGCCACAAUGGGACUGAGACACGGCCCAGACUCCUACGGGAGGCAGCAGUAGGGAAUCUUCGGCAAUGGACGGAAGUCUGACCGAGCAACGCCGCGUGAGUGAAGAAGGUUUUCGGAUCGUAAAGCUCUGUUGUAAGAGAAGAACGAGUGUGAGAGUGGAAAGUUCACACUGUGACGGUAUCUUACCAGAAAGGGACGGCUAACUACGUG
RNAcentral lists this ribosomal RNA (495 nucleotides) under uncultured bacterium. RNAcentral's name for it is "partial 16S ribosomal RNA". It matches the Rfam family "Bacterial small subunit ribosomal RNA", at positions 28 to 507 of the family's 1533-position model. The record is from RNAcentral.